Molecule: long non-coding RNA, 2885 nt
Filed under: Marmota monax (woodchuck)
Lineage: Eukaryota; Metazoa; Chordata; Mammalia; Rodentia; Sciuridae
Source: RNAcentral
CCUGCCCGCCCGCUUCCUGCCUUCGCUCCCCCACGGUGGGCCCCGCACCCCCGCACCCCUAAGCCCUGCCCGGCCCCCGUGAGGAAGCAAGAGGCACAGCCCGGAGCCCCGGCCUCCUGUCAACCCGCCGCCCGGGGAGACUGGGGUGGGCUCCGGCCCGGCACCGGCGCCCGUCUCCUCCGACAGCUGAGCUAGGCCUCGUCUGGCCUCCCAAACGACCCCCUCCCCGACGUCCCAGGCCAUUGGACCCCCGGCUCUGCCUUUCUCCUCCUGCCCUGUCCACGUGUUGGCGUCGGGGGCUGGACCUCCGGAGGGGAGGGUGACACCUUCCUCCGGGCCUGGGAGGAGGGAGCGAGCUGGUCACGGGCACCUCCCCUUGCGGCGACGCGGUAAGGAGAGAAGGAAGUCCCUUCUCGCGGAGCUCUCAUUGCAGCCGGCGACAGACAAGAAACAGGACAGCGGCAAACAGUGACGACGCCCGGCGGGGACAGGCGUCGUGAAGGAAGCAGCAGAGGAAGCUGAGACGGGCUGGCGGCGGAGGGGAGACCGGACGGAGACCACCCCGAGCUCCAGCUCCGCAAAGGGACCGCGCUGCGAGCGGCCGCACUGCCAAGGACAAAGGCCCUGAGGGGGGAAGAGCUGGGGGGCUCCAGGGACCCCUCCGGGCGGGCCGGGGUGACCUGCCGGAGGCGGAGCGCGGCCCGGGCCGUGAGCCGAGAACCCGCGUGGCCCGGACCCGGACGCGCCCUCUGGCGGCCGUGCGAGGAUCGACCAGGUGGCUCCGCUGCAGGGUCCCGAGCCGAGCUGGCGGCGGAAGGUGUAUAUUUCGUAGCGUCUAAACGAUUUGCUGAUGGAUCUAGAACGAUUCCAGGCUCAUUCUUGACAACUUGACAAAUGCAGGUGUCACUUAACCAGGAGCCGGUGACGGUGAUGGAGGGGGGUCUUGGAAUCGAGGUUCCAUCCUGGACAUGGGGUUGAGAAGCCUGUGAGGUAGCAGAGCAUUUGCUAUGAACUGAAUGUUUAUGUUCCAAAAAUUCACCUUGAAACCUGGCCCCCAAGGGGACGGUAUUUGGAGGAGGGGCUUUGGGAAGUGAUCAGGUCACCAGGAUGUGAAUGGAGCCCUCAGAACAGAAUUGGUGCUGGUAUAAAGAGCACCACAGGGUACACUGACAGAAGAGAGCCAUCCCUCGCAGACAGACUCGCCAACACCCUGAUCUUGGACUUCCAGCCCCCAGAACAGCGAGAAGUGAAUUUCUGUUUUUUCCAUUUUGUCAUAGCAGCCUGAACGGACUAAUACAGUGUUGACUGGUUGAUGGAUUGACUGAUUGAAAUGGCAUAAUAUUUGGGAUUUAUUUUACCCCAGCUCUAUUAAGGUACUGACAAAUUAAAAUAGUAUCUAGUUUCAGAGGACGCUAUGAAGUUUUGCUAUAUGUACACACAGUGAGGUGAAAAAUUCAAGCUCAUUAACAUACCAGUCACCUCAUAUUUAGUUCUUUGAUGAUCUAAUCCCUUAGCAAUUUUCAAAUACACAUUUAUAGAAACAUAGUUGCCGUAUGUAUAAUAUAUCCCCAGCCCUCCUCCAGCCUGUCUAAGGGACUUGGUACCAUCCUGGACCACUAUUUCCCCUCCCUCCCCCACUCAGCCCCUGGAAGCCACCUUCUACUUUUUUCCUGUGAGUUCAACUCUUUUCUUCUCUAGAUUCCACAGGUACAAUCACGGGGUUCUCAUCCUGGCUUAUUUCACUUGACCCAAUGUCCUCCAGGUUGAUCCACAUGUUGCAAAGGACAGAUGUCUUUCUUUUUUUAAGGCUGAAUAGUAUUCCACUGUGCACUAUGGACCACAUUCUCUUCCUUCAGUCUUCAGUGGAUGGCCACUUAGGUUACUGCCACAUCUUGGCCACGGUGGACAGUGCAGCUGUGACCACGGGGGGGCAGAUGUCUCUCUGACAUACUGAUGUCAUUUUCUUUAGGAUACAACCCAGGUGUGGAAUUGCUGCAUCACAUGGGAAUUCUAUUUUCAAUUUGAGGAACCUCCAUACUAUUUCCUGUGACAGCUGUACCAGUUCACACUCCCACCAACAGUGCCCAAGGCUCCCCUUUCCUCCACAUCCUUCAGCCCAUUUGUUACAUUGUAUCAAUUUAGUAAUCGCCAUUCUAAUAGGUGAAGGGCUCUCCCAUUGUGCUCAACCACUGAGCCGUGUCCCCAGCCCCUUUUUGUAUUUUAUUUAGAGACAGGGUCUCCUUGAGUUGCUUAGAGCCUGUUGCUGAGGCUGGCUUUGAACUGGAGAUCCUCCUGCCUCAGCCUCCUGAGCCCCUGGGAUGACAGGCGGGCGCCCCCGCGGCGGCCUGUCUAUUCAGUCUUUCUCCUCUGCGGCUGGACUGUGAGGCUUGUAUAUGUGGAUAUUAACCCCGGGUUUGCAGCACCCUCUCCUGUUCCACAGGUGGCCUCUCUGUCGGCUCUUCCCUUUGCCUGCUCAGACCAAGGCCGCAAGCCUUCCUCCUGUUUUCUUCCAGCGGCUUUCCACAUUUAAGUCUGCCAUCCACUGGAGCCCAUUGUUGUGCAUCACCAGAGGUGAGUUCCCGUGUCACCUGCAUGUGGAGACCAGCUUCCCAAUCACUGAAGAGACCCUGUCCUGUGUUGUUGGCAACUUUGUUGAAAACCAAUUAACUGCAAAUGCACGGACUUACUCCCAGGCCCCCGCUGUGCUCUGUUGGCCCUUGGGUGGGGUUUUAAGGCCAUGCUUCCGUGACAGUGGCUCUGCAGGGUGUGGAAGUCAGGUAGGCUGAGGCCUCCAGCUUGGCUCGUGCUGCUCAGAACUGCUCUGGCUGAUUGGGAGGUGGUGGGCCCUUGAGAAGUGAGGCUUUGUGGGAGGUUUUAGAUGUGGA